This 465-nucleotide ribosomal RNA is filed under the name uncultured bacterium. Its description in RNAcentral is "partial 16S ribosomal RNA". It matches the Rfam family "Bacterial small subunit ribosomal RNA", at positions 338 to 795 of the family's 1533-position model. The record is from RNAcentral.
CCUACGGGAGGCAGCAGUGGGGAAUAUUGCGCAAUGGGCGAAAGCCUGACGCAGCGACGCCGCGUGAGGGAUGAAGGUCUUCGGAACGUAAACCUCUGUCAGCAGGGAAGAACGGUCACUGUGCUAAUCAGCAGUGAAUUGACGGUAACUGCACAGGAAGCACCGGCUAACUCCGUGCCAGCAGCCGCGGGAAUACGGAGGGGGCGAGCGUUAACCGGAAUGACUGGGCGUAAAGCGCUCGUAGGCGGUAUGUCAAGUCAAGGGUGAAAUCCCCGGGCUUAACGUGGGAACUGCUUUUGAAACUGGCCAGCUGGAGUGUGUGAGAGGAUAGUGGAAUUCCUGGUGUAGGGGUGAAAUCCGUAGAUAUCUGGAGGAACAUCAGUGGCGAAGGCGACUAACUGGCACAUAACUGACGCUGAGGAGCGAAAGCGUGGGUAGCAAACAGGAUUAGAUACCCCAGUAGUC